This 241-nucleotide ribosomal RNA is filed under the name uncultured bacterium. Its description in RNAcentral is "partial 16S ribosomal RNA". It matches the Rfam family "Bacterial small subunit ribosomal RNA", at positions 28 to 252 of the family's 1533-position model. The record is from RNAcentral.
GAUGAACGCUGGCGGCGUGCCUAACACAUGCAAGUCGAACGGAUUUUUACGGAAUGCGUCUUCGGACAAAGGAAGUAAAAGUGAGUGGCGGACGGGUGAGUAACGCGUGGGUAACCUGCCCCACACCGGGGGAUAACAGCCAGAAAUGGCUGCUAAUACCGCAUAAGCGCACAGUACCGCAUGGUACGGUGUGAAAAACUCCGGUGGUGUGGGAUGGACCCGCGUCUGAUUAGCUGGUUGG